AACCAUAGAAACCUGCGGAGUACCUGCGGAGGGAUCAUUAACGAAUAACUAUGGUGUUGGUUGUAGCUGGCUCCUCGGAGCAAUGUGCACGCCCGCCAUUUUUAUCUUUCCACCUGUGCACCGACUGUAGGUCUGGAUACCUCUCGCCUCCGGGCGGAUGCGAGGGUUGCUCGUAAGGGCUUCCCUUGAACUUCCAGGCUCUACGUCUUUUUACACACCCCAAUAGUAUGAUGCAGAAUG
Molecule: unclassified non-coding RNA, 240 nt
Filed under: soil metagenome
Description: partial contains 5.8S ribosomal RNA, internal transcribed spacer 2, and large subunit ribosomal RNA
Source: RNAcentral